This 253-nucleotide ribosomal RNA is filed under the name uncultured bacterium. RNAcentral's name for it is "partial 16S ribosomal RNA". It matches the Rfam family "Bacterial small subunit ribosomal RNA", at positions 524 to 776 of the family's 1533-position model. The record is from RNAcentral.
UACAGAGGGGGCCAGCGUUAUUCGGAAUUAUUGGGCGUAAAGGGCGCGUAGGCGGCCAUGCGUGUCUUCCGUGAAAUCCCUCGGCUUAACUGAGGACGUGCGGAAGAAACUGCAAGGCCUGAGUCCGGGAGAGGGGGGUGGAAUUCCCAGUGUAGCGGCGAAAUGCGUAGAUAUUGGGAGGAACACCGGUGGCGAAGGCGGCCCCCUGGACCGGUACUGACGCUGAGGCGCGAAAGCGUGGGUAGCAAACGGG